RNAcentral lists this ribosomal RNA (439 nucleotides) under uncultured bacterium. Its description in RNAcentral is "bacterial SSU rRNA". It matches the Rfam family "Bacterial small subunit ribosomal RNA", at positions 340 to 773 of the family's 1533-position model. The record is from RNAcentral.
UACGGAAGGCAGCAGUGGGGAAUAUUGCACAAUGGGCGCAAGCCUGAUGCAGCCAUGCCGCGUGUAUGAAAAAGGCCUUCGGGUUGUAAAGUACUUUCAGUCGUGAGGAAGGUGUUAAGGUUAAUAACCUUAGCAAUUGACGUUAGCGACAGAAGAAGCACCGGCUAACUCCGUGCCAGCAGCCGCGGUAAUACGGAGGGUGCGAGCGUUAAUCGGAAUUACUGGGCGUAAAGGGCACGCAGGCGGUUAAUUAAGUUGGAUGUGAAAUCCCCGGGCUUAACCUGGGAAUGGCAUUCAAGACUGGUUAGCUAGAGUCUUGUAGAGGGGGUUAGAAUUCCAUGUGUAGCGGUGAAAUGCGUAGAGAUGUGGAGGAAUACCGGUGGCGAAGGCGGCCCCUGGCAAAGACUGACGCUCAUGUGCGAAAGCGUGGGGAGCAAAC